GGUAGGUCUCUGUGAGUUUGAGGCCAGCCUUGUCUACAUAAUGAAAACCUUGUCUCAAAAAAAAAAUCUAAUUACGUGACCCAGAUCAUAGACCCAGAUGACUUUUCCACUUUGAAAACAAUUUUUUUCCUAGCCUUAAUGACAGCUGGACUUCCAAACUGUAGUCUUCAGACAGAAGGACAUGUGCUGGGAAGAAAGUCAUGUUGCCUAUUCUUCUCAGAAGUGAGGAAUUACAAGAGGAAGAGAGAGGUCUUGAGUUGCAGCCCUCGAAGGACCAGCUCAUGAGCAGGAAGACGUGGACCAGGGAGCCUCAGGGUUGUCACUCUGAAGAAGAAACCGGUCACCCAGUCACCUGCUCAUCAUCAUUACCCAAAUGGCUCAGAGGUGCCGAGGAAUGACUAUAAAAUAAAUACUUCAGAGGCUGUGAGCAGGACGUGUGCCAGCCAGCUCCUCGAGAAGCUUGGGGAACCAGGAGUUGGAGGACAGCAUGACUUACAUAGGAAGGACCUGUCUCAGAAAUAAAUAAACAUGAAAGAAGA
Mesocricetus auratus (golden hamster) is the source of this 539-nucleotide long non-coding RNA. RefSeq lists it as uncharacterized. The record is from RefSeq and is a predicted model, not a curated record. The transcript is spliced from 2 exons. Lineage: Eukaryota; Metazoa; Chordata; Mammalia; Rodentia; Cricetidae.